UGCAUUGUUGAUACAAAAGGAGCUUUUGUGCAUCCAGCAUUGUAUGAGAAUUUCAAACUAACAGUCGUGGAGGCAAUGAGCAGUAGAACCCUAUAAUGGUGAUGAAUUGAGCCACAAGAUUGUUGAUUUCUUUGAAAUGUGAAAGGCGGAUCCUGAAAAUUGGAACAAGAUCUCAAAAGCUAGUCUCUGGCGUAUAAAUAAAUGCUACAUAUGGAAGAUUUAUGCAAACGAGUUGUUGAACAUGGGAGCAGCGUAUGGAUUCUGGUGGCAGAUGAACAAGGAACAAAAGCAAGGAGUUUGCCCACCCAAAGCAAAGAACCCCAACAAGCAACACCAGCUGCGACGUCUAAAGCCUAAACAACCAGCGACAACAUAGACAACUGAAUCCCAGUCCAAACCAAGGCACAUAAGCUAACUAAUAAGAAAAUUUACUGAACAAAAGUUAUUUGAUUUCCUUCCAUGGUUGUAAGUUAUGCGGAAGGGAGCAUAGAAACUAGUUUUCAUGUUUUUUUUAGUGCAAAUUUCUUAUGCAACAAAUGGUCCUUUUAAUUAAAUGGUAAGAGAGGAAAUGCAAUAAAUGGGUAAAUGAGUGAUCACAAUAAAGUGAAAAGGUUGGAAUUAGAGGCGCUUCAUUCUUGAUUCUCUGUCUUUUAAUUUAUUACCUCCCAAUAUGAAACUGUAUCUUUUGUUCAUAUAGCUAAACUGUAUCUCAUUUUCAGUCUUGAUAGAUCAAAACAUAGAGAAAACUUGAGAACUCGGAUGUAUUUCAACGUAUACUUAUCGUAAUGUCUCUGUAUUUUGCUAUGUUUUCUAUAUUUCUAUCCAAUCUAUCUUCAAGCCAAUCAAGUACAAACAUAAAGUAUCAACAGUCCAAUUGUCAUUCUUUAGAGUUUCGAGCCCUCCUCCUCUAAUGAAGAGUUUCUUUAGGCUAUUCAUUUUGCUAGGUACUAGCCAGUCAGGUAUCUUUGUCUCUGGGCAACACCGAAGAUCCAGUUUCUCCAAUUUCUCAGUAAGCUCCAGAAUUUCGUAACUACACUUCGUUGUCGACUUGGAAGCUCAUUAAUUCUGGAGAUCCCUUGAAGGCAAAGAAGCCUUAACUCUUUCUUACUCUUCAACCCUUCAAAGAAUUCAACCCUUUUAAAUCAGGACUUUAACAUUUUUCAUCUUCGAUAACCAUUCCACCACACUUGCUUUUUCUCUUUCUUCUUUGCUAAAAGCUGCAAUUUGAGAUCAGGA
Carya illinoinensis is the source of this 1236-nucleotide long non-coding RNA. RefSeq lists it as uncharacterized. The transcript has 3 exons. The record is from RefSeq and is a predicted model, not a curated record. NCBI's taxonomy places the organism in Eukaryota, Viridiplantae, Streptophyta, Magnoliopsida, Fagales, Juglandaceae.